AUCAAACCAGUCAUCAGGAAUUGCAACUUGUUACUCAUUCUAAGGCGUUUCAUCCAGGCAGUGAAAUCAUCAAAGUAGGCGUUCCUAAAUCCAAUAGUAAUGGAACCAGCAAAAUCUUUAGCCAUGUCUUCUGCAACUGUAGAAUAAUCGGCCCAAGAAUCGGUGCCGAUCACAACAAACCGAUCAGCCAGACCUUCAGCUUUGAUAGCCUCCAGUAUGGGUCUAGGAUUGGUCACAAGUAGAACAAUAACACCUAUACCUUCUGUGUUAGCAACACGACGAAUAACAGGCCGUAUUUCAUCAACAGAAGCACCUACGUUAACUCCUUCAGCAUAUCCAAUGCAGGAGUAUAGACCUUCAUUAAUGGUUGACUGCAAGGCUCGGUAACCAUUGAUACCAUAGCUUUCUGUAGUGUACACAACACCAACAUAACUCCAGCCGUUUGCAAGCAGAAUCUUUGCAAUAACUUCCAUCAUUUGGCUAUCUGGGGGAACAGUACGGGCAAAGUAUGGAUAUCUCCAUUGAUCACUCAGAGCCGAUGAUGAUGCUGAGGAGCUCAUUAGCUGAAUUUUCAUUGGAGCUGUGACACGAUUAGCAGCAGCAACAAAACGUGAUCCCCGUGUCAUGACACCCAUGAUCGAGCUUACAUCAAUGAUACUUUGAUCUGAGUC
This 671-nucleotide small RNA is filed under the name Spisula solidissima (Atlantic surf clam). RNAcentral's name for it is "cnRNA194". Lineage: Eukaryota; Metazoa; Mollusca; Bivalvia; Venerida; Mactridae. The record is from RNAcentral.